This is a non-coding RNA of Brachypodium distachyon (stiff brome), 125 nucleotides long. The record is from Rfam. Lineage: Eukaryota; Viridiplantae; Streptophyta; Magnoliopsida; Poales; Poaceae.
GGAGUACUUCCUCCGUCCCAUAUUAAGUGUCGAAAUAUUACAUGUAUCUAGACGCUUUUUAGAUGUAGAUACAUCAAUAUUUGAACAAAUUUGAAACACUUAACAUGAGACGGAGGGAGUACUAU